ACGGCUCAGUAACACGUGGACAAUCUAACUACGGAGGGGGAUAACCCCGGGAAACUGGGGAUAAUACCCCAUAGACUAUGGGCGCUGGAAUGCCCUGUAGUCGAAAGGUCCGCCGCCGUAGGAUGGGUCUGCGGCCGAUUAGGUUGUUGUUGGGGUAACGGCCCAACAAACCUGAAACCGGUACGGGCUCUGAGAGGAGAAGCCCGGAGAUGGGCACUGAGACAAGGGCCCAGGUCCUACGGGGCGCAGCAGUCGCGAAACCUUUGCAAUACACGAAAGUGUGACAGGGUCAUCCCGAGUGCCGACCGCUGAGGUUGGCUUUUACCCAGUCUAGAAAGCUGGGGGAAUAAGGAGAGGGCAAGUCUGGUGUCAGCCGCCGCGGUAAUACCAGCUCUCCGAGUGGUGUGGACGUUUAUUGGGCCUAAAGCAUCCGUAGCUGGCUGAUCAAGUCCCCUGUUAAACCCACCGAUUUAAUCGUUGGCUUGCGGGGGAUACUGUUCGGCUAGGGGACGAGAGAGGCAGACGGUAUUCCCGGGGUAGGGGUGAAAUCCUAUAAUCCCGAGAAGACCACCAGUGGCGAAGGCUGUCUGCUAGAACGCGCCCGACGGUGAGGGAUGAAAGCUGGGGGAGCGAACCGGAUUAGAUACCCGAGUAGUCCUGGCCGUAAACGCUGCGUGCAAGAUGUUGCACAAUCUUCGCGACUGUGCAGUGUCGCAACGAAGGUGUUAAGCACGCCACCUGGGAAGUACGGUCGCAAGGCUGAAACUUAAAGGAAUUGGCGAGGGAG
RNAcentral lists this ribosomal RNA (787 nucleotides) under uncultured archaeon. Its description in RNAcentral is "bacterial SSU rRNA". It matches the Rfam family "Archaeal small subunit ribosomal RNA", at positions 85 to 876 of the family's 1478-position model. The record is from RNAcentral.